This 72-nucleotide transfer RNA is filed under the name Bos taurus (domestic cattle). It matches the Rfam family "tRNA". From Rfam's summary of the family: Transfer RNA (tRNA) molecules are approximately 80 nucleotides in length. Their secondary structure includes four short double-helical elements and three loops (D, anti-codon, and T loops). Further hydrogen bonds mediate the characteristic L-shaped molecular structure. tRNAs have two regions of fundamental functional importance: the anti-codon, which is responsible for specific mRNA codon recognition, and the 3' end, to which the tRNAs corresponding amino acid is attached (by aminoacyl-tRNA synthetases). tRNAs cope with the degeneracy of the genetic code in two manners: having more than one tRNA (with a specific anti-codon) for a particular amino acid; and 'wobble' base-pairing, i.e. permitting non-standard base-pairing at the 3rd anti-codon position. The record is from Rfam by way of RNAcentral. Lineage: Eukaryota; Metazoa; Chordata; Mammalia; Artiodactyla; Bovidae. RNAcentral also lists the same sequence under 2 other names.
UCUCUGGUGGUUCAGAUGGUAAAGAAUCUGCCUGCAAUGCAGGAGACCCAGGUUCGAUUCCUGGGUUGGGAA